GAAAAGCAUUCUCUUCUCUGGACAAAGCUCUAAUCUGCAAAAAGAUGACAAUUACCAGUCCAAUCAGACAACGUAAUCAUCAGCAUAAUAUGUUUAAGGACUGCAAUCUAUCAAAAAGAUAUUUAAAAGCUGGAGUAUAUACUAGACUGUUCUGAGAAGGGGAUUACAUCUAAUUUUACUUUAGUUCAAAGAAAUUCCGUAUCAAGCUAGUCAUGCACUUCCCCUGGAGAAAUCCCAAAUUACUAGGAAAAACAACAAACAGAAGAUAAAUGAUGCAUGAGAGUUACUGAAACAACAUGUAACCCACCAACCAAAAUAAAAAAAAGACGAGUUUCUACGUGGUUUUCUUCUUAUAUCUUAUAGCUAGCUACUCACAUUAAUUUCCAACAUGGAGGACAUAUACCUCCCCUACAUAAAGCGAGAAAAAAAUCCUAGAGAAAUCAUCAUAUAGUGAUAUGGUAUUAUACAACAAAUAAUACAUGCCUCGUGACCACAAUCACUUUGAAAGGGGGAGAGACAGCAAGAGAAACGGAUGAAGAGAAGUGGCGGAGAGGAAGCGCUAUAAUACAAAUCAGAUGUUUUUUGAUAGAAUACCAAUCAGAUUAGGUCUGUCCUGUAGUAAUAUAUAAAGGCUGUAUGCUCCCCCAUACAACAUUAAAGAAGGAGUAAAAAGGAGGAUGAAGGAUCUCUUUCAAUGUAUUCUUUCAAACUUGUUUAAUAUGACAAAGAAGGAUAAAUUUUCCGCAUUUUGUUUCAUAUUCUUGAUCUCUCGACUCUCAGUAGACACAUAGGUGACAAAAGCUACCACUAUCACUUAACUUAGCACAAUGUAAUCUGAGACCAUUGAAGAGGGAGUAAUAAUUAUUACCGCUUGACCGAAAAUUGAUCCAUUACACAGGCUUGGGAGACGACACCAACAACAGUAAACUGUACAUGCUAGUAAAGCAUGUUGUUAUCAAAGUACAUUAAGAGGGGAAAUAUGAAGCUAUGCUUUCACUAGAGUGAUAACUCCUGUGUGAUGCAAUAUUGCUUCCCUAAAGAUAAGAUUUUACACAUAAUCUUCCUGAACCGUGAUUCUUUGGAGUAAGCUAGUAGUGCCAGCGAGGUGGAAUGUCCACUACUGUGAAGAAUGAUAAGUUUUUAAGUACCCUAGAGACGCUUAGCUUUUUGACACAGAGCAAAACAAGAAAAGAGGAAGGCAUUGUCACAUUCCAAACAAAGAUUUUUCAGAAGAACUAAGUGAUCCAAAUAAUACCAUCAUGCCAAAAAUGGUAGAGAGAAUGCAUUAGAUACAAUACAUUCCUGCCAGAAUGUAUCAAUAUUCUCAUAGUGGCUACCUAAUGAAAAGGAACUUGACAAUAUAUUCUUUCAACGCACUGAAUUAUCUAUUUUCCAUAUUUCUUUAUGUAAAAAUUCUCUAGUUUAUUCAACAAUAAUAAUUUAUCUGACACAAAGAUAAUCAAUACAAGAAAAGAGGAAGGCAUUGUCACAUUCCAAAUCAAAGAUUUUUCAGAAGAACCAAGCGACCAAAUAAUACCAUCAUGCCAAAAAUGGUAGAGAGAAUGCAUUAGAUUCAAUACAUUCCUGUCAGAAUGUAUCAAUAUUCUCAUAGUGGCUACCUAAUGAAAAGGAACUUGACAAUAUAUUCUUUCAACGCACUGAAUUAUCUAUUUUCCAUAUUUCUUUAUGUAAAAAUUCUCUAGUUUAUUCAACAAUAAUAAUUUAUCUGACACAAAGAUAAUCAAUACAAGAAAAGAGGAAGGCAUUGUCACAUUCCAAAUCAAAGAUUUUUCAGAAGAACCAAGCGACCAAAUAAUACCAUCAUGCCAAAAAUGGUAGAGAGAAUGCAUUAGAUUCAAUACAUUCCUGUCAGAAUGUAUCAAUAUUCUCAUAGUGGCUACCUAAUGAAAAGGAACUUGACAAUAUAUUCUUUCAAUGCACUGAAUCAUCUAUUUUCCAUAUUUCUUUAUGUAAAAGUUCUCUAGUUUAUUCAACAUUAAUAAUUUAUCUGAUACAAAGAUAAUCAAUACAAAGCCAUGGAGGACAAAGAACUACAUCCUGUAACAAUAAUCGUGAGAUCAAAGAAGGCAGUGCGAGUAAGAUCUGUUCCAGCAUAAUUAAUCGCUCUAAAGCAUUCAUCUCCAGUCAAUGAAAAGGUCAAUUAGCCCCACAUUAAUAUUACUUAAACAGAAGUAUUCCAACACAUCUUGUAAUAGUAUAUGAAAUGUAUGCUCGCUUAUGGUAGCUAGUAUGGUCAAUAAGAUGCAACUGCAGUAAAAUCAUGUUUUUAGCUGAUAAAAAGUACUCCCUCCAUCCGAUAAAGUUGAGCCACUGCAUUUCUGGUCCACCCUUCAAGUUUUCCCUUCAAAAACUUGACUAAAUUUCUUUUUUUAGUUUUUCUUUUUAGGAGGAAAACUUGACCUAUUUCCAGAAUAGCAAACUUCCCCUCCAAUAAUUCAACCUAAAUAUUAACUAAUAAAGCCUUAUAAUAUUUCAAAUAAUCGCAUUAAUAUUGCAUUGAUAGUUAUCUACUCCCAUUAUGGUGGUAGUUACAUUUAUAGGGCCAUUUGUGGUGGUGAAAGUCGAAAUAGUAGUGAAAACGAGAGUUUCAGCCCUUUUAACUCAGUGGUGGAGUAACGCCAAGGUAAGGCGUUAGUAAUCGGUUCAAAUCCGCAAAGUGUCAGGUUAUUCAUAUUACAAAAACUUGACGUGAUAUCUUUUCACCUGAUUAAUCCUUUCUUGUAUUUCAAACAAUUUUUCUAAACAGUGUAUCUCAAAUUAUUAUUUACACCUCUAUCAAAUUCAAGAUAGUAAUCUAUUCAAACAUUUUACUGUUGAACUCUGAACAUGUCAAACUACGUAAUCUUUAAUGGAGGGAAGGGAGAAAUUUUCAGGAGUAUCCCACCAAUACCAACAUCGUUAAAUUCUACAAGAAGCCUCUACUAUAACGCAAGACUGAGGCUUUUCAACCAUAAUCGACCAAAUAUUAGACUAGCAACUCAAAGAGAUUUUGAAAUAGUCUGAGCUACUCACUAACCUUGGAACGAAGUGUGAUAAUGAAAUUAUUUGGUUGGAAUUUACCAGCAUUUCCUGGACUGUAUCCUGAUUCUUGUCAUUCAUGGCAUCAAAAUGUGUAGCAAGGGAGUUAUCUCCAUUUGUGAAUCCGUCAGGCCACUUGCAUGCACGGAAGUCCUUACAUGCCUGUGCAAAAAUUGGUGAGGGUGAAUUACAUAGGACUAGCAUAGAAGACAGAAUCAGUAAACUACUAUCACAUAAAUAUAUAUAUGUCUAUUAACUGCUUAAUAGAUAGGAAAACUUUUUGAAAGAACAAAAACUAAGUGUCCGAGCAUUCCAAACUCAGUAAAAAAUGAGAAAUGUUAUAAACUAGUGUAGUAAAAUGAACAGGCUCAGAACAGUGAAUGUGCAUCCAAAGCAACCACAGAAAGAAGAGUCACUAAGAUAGUUAAAUAAAAAAAAUGCAAAAGAAGACUCUUCUGGUCUUUGAGUAGUUCUCUAGAUUGGAUGGAUCAAUACUUGGAAAUUCUGUACUUGUUAGGGGGCAACAUGUAGUGUGACUGGGGGAGUAAUGUAGCUUUGCUUUGUACUUGUUUCUGUACCAUCUUGGUACCAGAUUAAUAGAAGACUUUACUUACCCAAAAAAAAUGCAAAAGAAAGAUGAGCAGUGGCUUGCAAAUGUCAACUAUUAUCCCCAUAUACAAACCUACCCCAUCAUACAGUGUACUUGAAGUCACCCCAAGGUAAUGGGCAUAUUUUCCUUGGACCAAUCAGGAAUCUUUUAUUGAUAAAAACGAAUUGCAAAGGAAUGCACAUCACUUCAGAGCACUGCGUGAGAUGGAACAUGGAAGAGCUAAUAAAUUGACUAAUUUUCAGGUGAAUUUCAGUCAUAACAAGGAGAGCUGUUC
This 3923-nucleotide long non-coding RNA is filed under the name Nicotiana benthamiana. RNAcentral's name for it is "long non-coding RNA (NBEN_LNC040581)". The record is from RNAcentral. Lineage: Eukaryota; Viridiplantae; Streptophyta; Magnoliopsida; Solanales; Solanaceae.